GACGAACGCUGGCGGCGUGCUUAACACAUGCAAGUCGAACGGUGAAGCGCCUUCCUUUUUGGUGGGUGUGGAUGAGUGGCGAACGGGUGAGUAACACGUGAGUAACCUGCCCCCUUCUUCUGGAUAACCGCAUGAAAGUGUGGCUAAUACGGGAUAUUCUGGGUCUGUCGCAUGAUGGGUCUGGGAAAGAUAUUGUUUCGGUGGGGGAUGGGCUCGCGGCCUAUCAGCUUGUUGGUGGGGUGAUGGCCUACCAAGGCGGUGACGGGUAGCCGGCCUGAGAGGGUGGACGGUCACACUGGGACUGAGACACGGCCCAGACUCCUACGGGAGGCAGCAGUGGGGAAUAGUGCACAAUGGGCGCAAGCCUGAUGCAGCGACGCCGCGGGAGGGAUGGAGGCCUGCGGGUUGUGAACCUCUUUCGCCAGUGAAGCAGGCCUGCCUCGUUUGUGGGUGGGUUGACGGUAGCUGGAUAAGAAGCGCCGGCUAACUACGUG
This 494-nucleotide ribosomal RNA is filed under the name uncultured bacterium. Its description in RNAcentral is "partial 16S ribosomal RNA". It matches the Rfam family "Bacterial small subunit ribosomal RNA", at positions 28 to 507 of the family's 1533-position model. The record is from RNAcentral.